This is a small nuclear RNA of 164 nucleotides. Its record names the gene U1. It matches the Rfam family "U1 spliceosomal RNA". Rfam says of the family: U1 is a small nuclear RNA (snRNA) component of the spliceosome (involved in pre-mRNA splicing). Its 5' end forms complementary base pairs with the 5' splice junction, thus defining the 5' donor site of an intron. The record is from Ensembl.
AAACUAAAAGGACGUAUUGAUACUAACCUGAUCAUGAGGGUAAUUUUGCCGGGUGAGGUUUAUCCAUUGUAUACCAGAUGCACUGAGCCCAGCAAUUUCUCUAAAUGUUGGAAAUCUACUGUGUAAUUUGUGGUGGUGGGUGAUUGUGUUCAUAUGUUCCCUUA